AUUGAACGCUGGCGGCAUGCUUUACACAUGCAAGUCGAACGGUAGACCCUUUCGGGGGUUGAGAGUGGCGAACGGGUGAGUAAUGCAUCGGAACGUGCCCAGUCGUGGGGGAUAACGCAGCGAAAGUUGUGCUAAUACCGCAUACGACCUGAGGGUGAAAGCGGGGGACCGGUAACGGCCUCGCGCGAUUGGAGCGGCCGAUGUCUGAUUAGCUAGUUGGUGAGGUAAAGGCUCACCAAGGCGACGAUCAGUAGCGGGUCUGAGAGGAUGAUCCGCCACACUGGGACUGAGACACAGCCCAGACUCCUACGGGAGGCAGCAGUGGGGAAUUUUGGACAAUGGGCGCAAGCCUGAUCCAGCCAUGCCGCGUGCGGGAAGAAGGCCUUCGGGUUGUAAACCGCUUUCGGACAGAAAGAAAUCGUGUGGGUUAAUAGCCUGCAUGGAUGACGGUACUGUAAGAAGAAGCACCGGCUAACUACGUG
This 482-nucleotide ribosomal RNA is filed under the name uncultured bacterium. RNAcentral describes it as "bacterial SSU rRNA". It matches the Rfam family "Bacterial small subunit ribosomal RNA", at positions 30 to 507 of the family's 1533-position model. The record is from RNAcentral.